Dreissena polymorpha is the source of this 896-nucleotide long non-coding RNA. RefSeq lists it as uncharacterized. The transcript is spliced from 2 exons. The record is from RefSeq and is a predicted model, not a curated record. Lineage: Eukaryota; Metazoa; Mollusca; Bivalvia; Myida; Dreissenidae.
CUCAAGAACGCUUUGACCUAGGAUUAUGAAACUUCAUAGGUACAUUGAUCAUGACUUGCAGAUGAUCCCUAUUGAUUUUGAGGUCACUAGGUCAAGGUCACGGUAACCCGAAAUAGUAAAAUGGUUUUUGAAUGAUAACUCAAGAACGCAUACGCCUAGGAUCAUGAAACUUCAUGGGUAGAUUGAUCAUGACUUGCAAAUGACCCCUAUUGAUUUUGAGGUCACUAGGUCAAAGGUCAAGGUCACGGUGACCCGAAAUAGUAAAAUGGUUUCCGGAUGAUAACUCAAGAAUGCAUACGCCUAGGAUCAUGAAACUUCAUGGGUAGAUUGAUCAUAACUCGCAGAUGACCCCUAUUGAUUUUGAGGUCACUAGGUCAAAGGUCAAGGUCACAGUGACCCGAAAUAGUAAAAUGAUUUUCGGAUGAUAACUCAAGAACGCAUAUGCCUAGGAUCAUGAAACUUCAUAGGUAGAUUGAUCAUGACUUUCAGAUGACCCCUAUUGAUAUUUUGAGGUCACAAGGGCAAAGGUCAAGGUCACGGUGACCCGAAAUAGUAAAAUGAUUUUCGGAUGAUAACUCAAGAACGCUUUUGCCUAGGAUCAUGACACUUUAUAGGUACAUUGAUCAUGACUUGCAGAUGACCCCUAUUGAUUUUCAGGUCACUAGGUCAAAGGUCAAGGUCACAGUGACAAAAGUCGUAUUCACACAAUGGCUGCCAGUACAACGGACAGCCCAUAUGGGGGGCAUGCAUGUUUUGCAAACAGCCCUUGUUUUUCUAUGAACUAUUUAAUAGAGACCCUAAUUUUUUACAACGUAAAUCUUUCAAAAAGUUAUGUUUAUAAAGUGAAUUGUUGCUAUUCUCUUGUUAAAAUGUAUUGUCAUUGUUGAUUUCUACAG